Molecule: unclassified non-coding RNA, 432 nt
Filed under: soil metagenome
Description: partial contains 5.8S ribosomal RNA, internal transcribed spacer 2, and large subunit ribosomal RNA
Rfam family: 5.8S ribosomal RNA (bases 1-120)
Source: RNAcentral
GAUGAAGAACGUAGCGAAAUGCGAUACGUAAUGUGAAUUGCAGAAUUCAGUGAAUCAUCGAAUCUUUGAACGCAUAUUGCGCUCUCUGGUAUUCCGGAGAGCAUGCUUGUUUGAGUAUCAGUAAACACCUCAACUUCCAUAUCUUUUUUGAAAUGGGAGUUGGACUUGAGUGAUCCCAACGCUUUUCCUCACCGAAAAGUGGCGGGUUACUUGAAAUGCAGGUGCAGCUGGACUUUUCUCUGAGCUAUAAGCAUAUCUAUUUAGUCUGCCUAAAAACAGAUUAUUACCUUUGCUGCAGCUAACAUAAAGGAGAUUAGUUCUUGUGCUGACUGAUGCAGGAUUCACAAAGACAGGCUUCGGCCGACUUUGUAAACUCGAUCUCAAAUCAAGUAAGACUACCCGCUGAACUUAAGCAUAUCAAUAAGCGGAGGA